This is a long non-coding RNA of Bos taurus (domestic cattle), 1101 nucleotides long. The record is from Ensembl. Lineage: Eukaryota; Metazoa; Chordata; Mammalia; Artiodactyla; Bovidae.
UCUCCAGGGGCAACACUUUUAUGGUCUAAGUUCUACAGGCUGAAGAUUGUUUGUUCCAGCAUCAUCUGUGGACCGGGGCUGUGAUCCUACACAGGAGCGGUGGCAGUGCUAGCUCCAUCAAAGGAUUCCAGCUCAAUGAAGUGAACACUGGUGUUUCCAUAUUCCUUAAGAGACUCGGAAGUUAAGUUACCUGUCCAGUGCUACACAGCAGAAAGUAGCAGGGCCAGGACUUCAACACAUGUGGGAUCUUAGCUCUCUUGACCAAGGAUUGAACCUACAUCCUCUUCAUUGGAAGUCAAAGUCUUAACUACUGGACUGCCAGAGAAGUCCUGCUUUGCCCACUUUUAAUAAGAGUUUAAUUUCCAGGAAUAAUAAGAUUUAUCACCAUGGAACUGAUCCCACCACUUCCUGGUUUGUGGUUCCCUGGACUUUUGGGGUAGAGGACAGAGGAGGGAUCCAGCAGAGGGGGAAGACGGGUGCAUCAUGCUGAGAGGAGGCUUCUGGUGAGACAGAGACUGUGAAGCCCCAGAGGAGGAAACGGGUGAGGAGAUAGCCUUUCAAGCUGACCUGGACUUGGGACAGUCCUCUCUUCAGCUCCAGGCUGUGCCUAUCCUCCACUUCUUCAAGAUAACCUAUAGUCAUGCUUGUUCAUUUCAACUGAAAUUAUCCAAACCAGCUAGUGAAAUGGAAAAGAUUCUACUUCUUGAAUUCUUCUGAAGUUUGUCUUGUCCAUGGAAAUGCUUCUGGGUGGGAAUUUGGAGAACGCCUAUUGAAAAUAUUCACCACUGUACACCUUCCAUAGAAAUUAUACAUUGGCAUUUCUGUAAUUAGUAUAUCAGCAAAGACAUCAGAAGGCGACACAUAAAAGGAACACACAAUUAGUAUUUGGGAAAAGCAGUGCCACCUGCCACUUUGGGGGUCUUUUUGUGUGUAGUAUACCUAGUAUGUUUUACAGGCACUCAAAGUCACCUUUAAAUGCAGUUCUGACAAAUUUCAGUGUUUUCAGCCAUAAACAAAUCAUAUUUUGUUCCCCUUCUUGUAUAUCAUAGCAUAUCAAGGCAGAACAACUUUCAGUGUGAAAUAAAAUGCCUUUCCUAUUUC